Molecule: ribosomal RNA, 253 nt
Filed under: uncultured bacterium
Lineage: Bacteria
Description: partial 16S ribosomal RNA
Rfam family: Bacterial small subunit ribosomal RNA
Source: RNAcentral
GACAGAGGGUGCAAGCGUUGUUCGGAAUUACUGGGCGUAAAGCGCGCGUAGGUGGCUUCGUAUGUCGGGUGUGAAAGCCCUUGGCUCAACCAAGGAAGUGCGCCCGAAACUGCGAUGCUCGAGUUUGGGAGAGGAUGGUAGAAUUCUCAGUGUAGAGGUGAAAUUCGUAGAUACUGGGAGGAACACCGGUGGCGAAGGCGACCAUCUGGACCAACACUGACACUGAUGUGCGAAAGCGUGGGUAGCAAACAGG